Molecule: unclassified non-coding RNA, 314 nt
Filed under: Hevea brasiliensis (rubber tree)
Lineage: Eukaryota; Viridiplantae; Streptophyta; Magnoliopsida; Malpighiales; Euphorbiaceae
Source: RNAcentral
GGUCCCCAAUUCUAUUUACAAGUUACAGAAUUUACAAUCUUUGUUACUUCUUACUGAGGAGUUACCCAAUGAUAUAAGGUACUUGAUCAGCCUUAGAUUUCUAAUUUUUUCCACAAAGCAGAAGUGUUUGGCAAAGAAUGGACUAGGCUGCUUGACAUCUCUUAGGUUUUUGGGCAUUGUCGAAUCUGAAAAUUUAGAAUACUUGUUUGAAGAUAUGUUUGAAGAUAUGCAAGGCCUCAAACAUCUUCGAACGCUGAUUAUUAGCGAAUGUGAAAGCUUAAUCUCAUUGCCUCAAAGUAUGAAGUACCUCACUG